GGUAAUUUUGGAGUGUUCGAAGCCGUGUGAUAGCAAAAUGUUUGAUCGCUUAUUAUGUGCGAGCUCCACCAUUACACGUGGCAACAAAAAUUAUUUGCUCUCCCUACCUAUCGAGGAUAGCCUUGCCAAGUCUUGGCAAACAAGGCUAGUGGGCAAGCUUGGGAAAGACAACCAAGCAGACCCAAAGUUUCAUCCAUGGUUUCAUUUUUAUUUGUUGAUGUGACACUAUUGGAAAAAUGAAAUAAUGCAAUGAGAUUGGCAAGAUUGAUAGUACAUCAUCGGCACAAUGUUCAGAAAUAUAAGGCAACAUAACCAAAGUGACACUUGCAGAAUACAUCAUCGGGAAAAUGUUCAGAAACAUAAGGCAAUCCUAUGAUACUUUCACUCUAAGUAUCAUUAGCUACCAAAAUAUAAGAUCACCAUCCCACCUCUGAACUAUCUACUUAAUUAGCCUUGCCACCAAGCAUCAAUCCCAUGACAACAACAAAUAAAGCAAGCAGCACGUGCGUGAGUUUGACAUUGUCCUAUAAUUCCCAAUUGACUUCAGCUCGGUAGUGGCCUUCUGAAGUUGUUGCCGCACCAUCUUAAGCUCAUUCCUAAUCUCUCUAAGCUCACAGUUAGCUUUUCCCAAUUCUUCCUCCCAC
Molecule: long non-coding RNA, 644 nt
Filed under: Setaria viridis
Lineage: Eukaryota; Viridiplantae; Streptophyta; Magnoliopsida; Poales; Poaceae
Description: long non-coding RNA (SVIR_LNC008925)
Source: RNAcentral